Molecule: long non-coding RNA, 1806 nt
Organism: Mytilus californianus (California mussel)
Lineage: Eukaryota; Metazoa; Mollusca; Bivalvia; Mytilida; Mytilidae
Exons: 6
Source: RefSeq, a predicted model, not a curated record
AUAAAGUCGACAAUAACGCAUUUACUGAAACAGACCAGCAUAGUAAAUCAAAGGAAGCAUUACCAAUACAUUCACCAGAAACAAAAGAAACCCAGUCUGAAGCAGCUUCAACAAACACAGGAGCUGCGAUGAAUAUAGAAAAUACCAAAUGCUGUCUCUCUGGAAUAGAACACAAAAAUGUUUGCAAGGUUGAGUGGAAAAUUGUUACUCCAGGAAACUGGGAUGCGGAAAGGAUUGCACGUGCAUUAAAUAAAGUUGCCGCCUUGUUGGAAGAGGUUUUUCAGAUUGAAUUCGUUAUGUUAGGAUCGUUGAUUAUCAAAACUAGUGUUCCUUUAAAAAAUAAUACAGAGCACGGAAUUAUUAGCUGAAGCAGUAGAGUCUUUUCUGAAAAAUAUAUUGGAGAAAUGCAGUAUUGAUACGAAAGAAUGUAAUGCUAUUCCAGUAUUUUUAACUUGUAGUGUGAGCGGUGAUACACCAAUAAGCGUAGCAACACAGACAGAUAAAUGUGAAAAUUGCUUAAAGCUGAAAACAGAUAACAAUGUGCUGACGGAACUGGUGGAUGAUUGGUAUAAAACAAUAACUGAAAUUUCUGGAGGAGUUACUUCUCAGCAACACUUGAAAAUUUGUAGCGUUUGUAAUGUUCUUAGUAAAUCGAUCAUCCAGUGUUGCUUCCGAUGUAACAAACCAAUGUGUAGCGAUUGUUCUUAACGACACAAAAAUGAAGCACUCCACGUCACGAACACCUUUAAACUUGGUGAUUUGAGAAUAGCAGAUAUCAAUUCAUUACGCGGUGGCAGAUUUGUUAUUGUCGAUGAUUGUUUUAAUUUCCUGGUCAGCUGUAAUAUGACAGAUCAGCAGGAGAUAUUGCAGUUGCCUGGCCAACCAUGGUGUAUCGCUGUUUUGGACAAUACUUCCGUUGCCGUUACUUUGCCUUGGGAGAAGCGGAUCUUAAUUGUCCAAGUAUUGCGAGAUUUAACAUUAACAAUUUUGCAGGAAAUAAGUACAAGUGAGCGAUAUUUUGGAAUUGAUUUGAUACAAGAACAUCUUUUGGUCGUUAGUUGUGAAAGCGAUGAACUGAUAGUAUUGGAUACUUUAGGGGAAAUGCAAUUUUCUGUAAAAAUCGAUUCCAUUCCUUAUUACUUCUGUACCGACAGUAAACAUGUGUUUUAUACUGACAACGUAAACAAUAGCGUGGUCUGUUUCGAUACAUCAGAAAACAAAAUGUUUCAAAUUGUUAAUCCAUUCAUGGAAGGACCAGAUGGAAUAACAACUGACGACUAUGGACACUUACUAGUUAUAUGUACACAGUCUCACAACAUAUUAAAAAUCAAUCCUGAUGACCAAAAUGUUGAAGUUUUGUGCACUUUGGGAUUGCAUGAGUUUGAUCUAUCAUGUGUACCACAUAUAUGUUAUGAUCCAGUGGUUAAAUCUAUCUUAUUUGGCAUGAAGAACACUGUCGAUUUUUUUUGCAAGCAGUAAUGUUUGAAAUCUUUCUUUUGUUGAUUAGAUACACCUUUUGAAAUAUGAUUUGUAUUGUUUUGAUAAAUAUUACUGUUGAUUGUCAUUUCUCGUUCAAAAAAUUAGUGUAAUGCUUUAUAAGGCAUUCGAAUAUAGUUAUCGCUUAAUAGUAUGUCCAUUGUUGGAUACUCACUGAACUGUGAAUGGAGCAAAGUGACAAUGUCCACAUUUCUUCUUCAAAAAACGUUACAAAUACGUCAUUUAUGUAUGCCGACGGACACAAAUUUACAAUGAAUUUAAAUUCACAGGUUUUUUUUCAAAUUUUUUAAUUAAAAAAAUAACUUCCUG